Long non-coding RNA from Vidua macroura (Pin-tailed whydah), 388 nucleotides. RefSeq lists it as uncharacterized. The record is from RefSeq and is a predicted model, not a curated record. The transcript is spliced from 2 exons. NCBI's taxonomy places the organism in Eukaryota, Metazoa, Chordata, Aves, Passeriformes, Viduidae.
ACGAAAUCCAAGCCCUUCCCUGUCGCUAUUGGACACGAAAUGAGUGCACAGAAGCUUGGGAAUAUAAAACUGGCUCUUUUUCUCUUUUGAACUCCCCAAGCUUCUGUGCACUCAUUUUGUGUCCAGUACCUGUACAGAUCUGCCAGCCCUCAGCAUCUGCUGUCUGAAGAAAGCGUGGAGCAAGGCCCAAACUGGGAGUGAUAAAAAAAGGCAACCAAAACCCCAGCCAGGCAACACCCAUGCUCUAAAAAGGUGGAGCCGAGGAGGGGCCAUGUAAAACAGUUCCUGGAAAAUCUAAACUAGUUCAUGGAUUUGCAUCAGGAUCUAUGAAGAUGCAACAGGCUGAUGUAAUUAAAAGGAGAGUGAAGGUGUUUUUCACGUGAGAGAA